This 832-nucleotide ribosomal RNA is filed under the name Ostreopsis siamensis. Its description in RNAcentral is "partial large subunit ribosomal RNA". It matches the Rfam family "Eukaryotic large subunit ribosomal RNA", at positions 94 to 910 of the family's 3401-position model. The record is from RNAcentral. Lineage: Eukaryota; Dinophyceae; Peridiniales; Ostreopsidaceae.
CAAACAUGUUCACCUCAAAAUUGGUGUGCUCCAUGUGUGCACUGACUUGUUUCAGAGUUCAUCACUAUCAAAGCUGCAUGCAAAUGAUUUUUGAAAGGAUACAACAUGGGAUGUGACAUUCAUGUCUGUGUGCUUGCUUUGAUUACAGUGUGUGCUCUAUGAUUCACAUUUCUUGUAACUGAAAUGCAAAUUGCAUGGUAAAGUUCAUGUGAUGUGAUAUGUGUUUGAAAUUCAUGAUGUGCAAGUACCAUGAGGGAAAUGUGAAAAGGACUUUGAAAAGAAAAUUAAACAAAGCCUGCAUUUGCUGAUUGUAAACGUAAGUGAGGAUUGUAAUACUAAUGUCUCUGCAUCACUUGACAUGUCUUACGUGUUGUUGUAUGCUUGGCAUUAUGUUCAGCACCACUGAGUGUGCGUACUGGCUUUGAUUGAACUGAUUUCAUGUGGAACUGUUGAAUGAAGAUGCAUGUACACUUGUGUGAAGUAAUGUACCCACCAACUGUGAUCAUGCACUGUUUGCACAUGUUUUCAUGUGCUUCCUUGCUAAUUCUUGAUGUCACUUGGCAUAUUAUAACUACCCUCACUUGACCCGUCUUGAAACACGGACCAAGGAGUCUGGCAAGUGUGCAAACUGACUUUGUGUCAAGACUUGCAUGUAAUGAACAUGACUGUUUCAUGACAUCACCACCAAUCAAUUUUCAGUUUGUUGAUAAUUUGAAUGUGAGCAUUGUUGCUAGGACCCGAAAGAUGGUGAACUAUGCUUGCAUAACAUGAAUUCAGAGGAAACUCUGAUGGAAGUUUGUAUCGGUACUGACGUGCAAAUCGUUCGUCACAA